This 66-nucleotide transfer RNA is filed under the name Coleoptera sp. 2 AH-2016. RNAcentral describes it as "tRNA-Trp". The record is from RNAcentral. Lineage: Eukaryota; Metazoa; Arthropoda; Insecta; Coleoptera.
AAGGAUUUAGGUUAUUAAAACUCCCAACCUUCAAAGUUGGCCAUAGAAGGCUAUUUCUAAGCCUUA